This 534-nucleotide ribosomal RNA is filed under the name uncultured delta proteobacterium. RNAcentral's name for it is "bacterial SSU rRNA". It matches the Rfam family "Bacterial small subunit ribosomal RNA", at positions 18 to 523 of the family's 1533-position model. Lineage: Bacteria; Deltaproteobacteria. The record is from RNAcentral.
CCUGGCUCAGAACGAACGCUGGCGGCGUGCCUAAGACAUGCAAGUCGUACGAGAAAGGGGCUUUCGGCCCUGAGUACAGUGGCGCACGGGUGAGUAACGCGUGGGCAACCUACCUCGAAGUUGGGAAUAACCCGGGGAAACCUGGGCUAAUGCCGAAUGAGCCUGCGAGAUCCUCGGAUCAUGUGGGGGAAAAGAUGGCCUCUGCUUGCAAGCUAUCGCUACGAGAUGGGGCCCGCGUCCCCAUUAGCUAGUUGGUGAGGUAACGGCUCACCAAGGCUCCGAUGGGUAGCUGGUCUGAGAGGACGAUCAGCCACACUGGAACUGAGACACGGUCCAGACUCCUACGGGAGGCAGCAGUCGGGAAUCUUGGGCAAUGGGCGCAAGCCUGACCCAGCGACGCCGCGUGAGGGAUGAAGGCCUUCGGGUCGUAAACCUCUGUCAGGAGGGAAGAACGUCGGCGAGGUGAACAAUCUCGUUGGUUGACGGUACCUCCAAAGGAAGCGCCGGCUAACUCCGUGCCAGCAGCCGCGGUAA